Long non-coding RNA from Rhagoletis pomonella (apple maggot), 344 nucleotides. RefSeq lists it as uncharacterized. The transcript has 2 exons. The record is from RefSeq and is a predicted model, not a curated record. NCBI's taxonomy places the organism in Eukaryota, Metazoa, Arthropoda, Insecta, Diptera, Tephritidae.
UUUGAUUAGUACAUACUACAUACAUACAUACAUACAUACAUACGUAUGCAAAUAAACUAUAGAAUUCAGUUGUUGUAUAGAAUUGUUGUUGUUGUGAUUGUGUUUGAAGCAAGCGUCUAGUGAUGAUAGUGGGGAAAAACAAAUGCCGUGGACUCGACUCACCUGUGCUAAGAGUAAUGCGGUGAGCAGCAGCAGCAGCAGCAGCAGUGGCAGCAUCGCUUUCUUCCACAUUCUCUCAGCGAAAAAAUGCUAUACCACACACCAAUGACUGAGAUGCAACUGAAAUUGUUUAUCAUGUCUAUAGUCUUUUAUACAUUACACUUAAUAAAAGAGAAAUUGCAAUA